UGUGUAGUGGUAGUGUGUGGUGAUGGUGUAGUGGUAGUGUGUGGUGUUGGUGAUGGUGUGUAGUGGUAGUGUGUGGGGAUGGUGUGUAGUGGUAGUGUGUGGUGAUGGUGUGUAGUGGUAGUGUGUGGUGAUGGUGUGUAGUGGUAGUGUGGGGUGAUGGUGAUAGUGUGUAGUGGUAGUGUGUGGUGAUGGUGAUAGUGUGUAGUGGUACUGUGUGGUGAUGGUGUGUAGUGGUAGUGUGUGGUGAUGGUAUGUAGUGGUAGUGUGUGGUGAUGUUGAUGGUGUGUAGUGGUAGUGUGUGGUGAUGGUGUGUAGUGGUAGUGUGUGGUGAUGGUGUGUAGUGGUAGUGUGUGGUGUUGGUGAUGGUGUGUAGUGGUAGUGUGUGGUGAUGUUGUGUAGUUGUUGUGUGUGGUGAUGUUGUGUAGUUGUAGUGUGUGGUGAUGGUGAAUGGUGUGUAUGUGUGGUGAUGGUGAUAGUGUGUAGUGGUAGUGUCUGGUGAUGGUGUGUAGUGGUAGUGUGUGGUGAUGGUGUGUAGUGGUAGUGUGUGGUGAUGGUGAUGGUGUGUAGUGGUAGUGUGUGGUGAUGGUGUGUAGUGGUAGUGUGUGGUGAUGGUGUGUAGUGGUAGUGUGUGGUGAUGGUGUGUAGUGGUAGUGUGUGGUGAUGGUGUGU
Oncorhynchus tshawytscha (Chinook salmon) is the source of this 669-nucleotide long non-coding RNA. The record is from Ensembl. Lineage: Eukaryota; Metazoa; Chordata; Actinopteri; Salmoniformes; Salmonidae.